This 120-nucleotide ribosomal RNA is filed under the name Rhinopithecus roxellana (golden snub-nosed monkey). Lineage: Eukaryota; Metazoa; Chordata; Mammalia; Primates; Cercopithecidae. The record is from RNAcentral.
GUCUAUGGCCAGACCACCCUGAACGCGCCCGAUCUCGUCUUAUCUCUGGAAGCUAAGUAGGGUCAGGCCUGGUUAGUACUUAACUGGGAGACCGCCUGGAAAUACUGGGUACUGUAGGCU